GGGUCUUUAGCUCAGUUGGUAGAGCAGUUGACUUUUAAUCAAUUGGUCGCAGGUUCGAAUCCUGCACGACCCACCA
Molecule: transfer RNA, 76 nt
Filed under: Escherichia coli
Lineage: Bacteria; Pseudomonadati; Pseudomonadota; Gammaproteobacteria; Enterobacterales; Enterobacteriaceae
Also listed under: 5 other names
Description: tRNA-Lys
Rfam family: tRNA
About the family: Transfer RNA (tRNA) molecules are approximately 80 nucleotides in length. Their secondary structure includes four short double-helical elements and three loops (D, anti-codon, and T loops).
Source: RNAcentral